GUCCCCGUAGCUCAAUUGGAUAGAGCAGCGGACUUCUAAUCCGCAGGUUGCAGGUUCGAUUCCUGCCGGGGAUG
RNAcentral lists this transfer RNA (74 nucleotides) under Blastopirellula sp. Its description in RNAcentral is "tRNA-Arg". It matches the Rfam family "tRNA". From Rfam's summary of the family: Transfer RNA (tRNA) molecules are approximately 80 nucleotides in length. RNAcentral also lists the same sequence under 2 other names. The record is from RNAcentral. Lineage: Bacteria; Pseudomonadati; Planctomycetota; Planctomycetia; Pirellulales; Pirellulaceae.